GACGAACGCUGGCGGCGUGCUUAACACAUGCAAGUCGAACGGAAAGGCCCUGCUUUUGUGGGGUGCUCGAGUGGCGAACGGGUGAGUAACACGUGAGUAACCUGCCCUUGACUUUGGGAUAACUUCAGGAAACUGGGGCUAAUACCGGAUAGGAGCUCCUGCUGCAUGGUGGGGGUUGGAAAGUUUCGGCGGUUGGGGAUGGACUCGCGGCUUAUCAGCUUGUUGGUGGGGUAGUGGCUUACCAAGGCUUUGACGGGUAGCCGGCCUGAGAGGGUGACCGGCCACAUUGGGACUGAGAUACGGCCCAGACUCCUACGGGAGGCAGCAGUGGGGAGUAUUGCACAAUGGGCGGAAGCCUGAGGCGGCGACGCCGCGUGCGGGAUGACGGCCUUCGGGUUGUAAACCGCUUUCGCCUGUGACGAAGCGUGAGUGACGGUAAUGGGUAAAGAAGCACCGGCUAACUACGUG
RNAcentral lists this ribosomal RNA (468 nucleotides) under uncultured bacterium. Its description in RNAcentral is "partial 16S ribosomal RNA". It matches the Rfam family "Bacterial small subunit ribosomal RNA", at positions 28 to 507 of the family's 1533-position model. The record is from RNAcentral.